Molecule: ribosomal RNA, 547 nt
Filed under: uncultured bacterium
Lineage: Bacteria
Description: partial 16S ribosomal RNA
Rfam family: Bacterial small subunit ribosomal RNA
Source: RNAcentral
UGGGGAAUUUUGGACAAUGGGCGAAAGCCUGAUCCAGCAAUGCCGCGUGUGUGAAGAAGGCCUUCGGGUUGUAAAGCACUUUUGUCCGGAAAGAAAUGGCUCUGGUUAAUACCUGGGGUCGAUGACGGUACCGGAAGAAUAAGGACCGGCUAACUACGUGCCAGCAGCCGCGGUAAUACGUAGGGCUACCAGCUGAUUACGGAAUUACUGGGCGUAAAGCGUGCGCAGGCGGUUGUGCAAGACCGAUGUGAAAUCCCCGAGCUUAACUUGGGAAUUGCAUUGGUGACUGCACGGCUAGAGUGUGUCAGAGGGGGGUAGAAUUCCACGUGUAGCAGUGAAAUGCGUAGAGAUGUGGAGGAAUACCGAUGGCGAAGGCAGCCCCCUGGGAUAACACUGACGCUCAUGCACGAAAGCGUGGGGAGCAAACAGGAUUAGAUACCCUGGUAGUCCACGCCCCUAAACGAUGUCAACUAGUUGUUGGGGAUUCAUUUUCCUUAGUAACGUAGCUAACGCGUGAAGUUGACCGCCUGGGGAGUACGGUCGCAAG